RNAcentral lists this ribosomal RNA (237 nucleotides) under uncultured bacterium. RNAcentral describes it as "partial 16S ribosomal RNA". It matches the Rfam family "Bacterial small subunit ribosomal RNA", at positions 99 to 334 of the family's 1533-position model. The record is from RNAcentral.
CGAACGGGUGAGUAACGCGUGAGGAACCUGCCUCAAAGAGGGGGACAACAGUUGGAAACGACUGCUGAUACCGCAUAAGCCCACGGGUCGGCAUCGACCUGAGGGAAAAGGAGCAAUCCGCUUUGAGAUGGCCUCGCGUCCGAUUAGCUAGUUGGUGAGGUAAUGGCCCACCAAGGCGACGAUCGGUAGCCGGACUGAGAGGUUGAACGGCCACAUUGGGACUGAGACACGGCCCAG